UGCUCUGAACCGUUCCUCGAUACAGGGAGCCGCUCCAUGCGGGUUUGUGCAAGCCGACCAACGCAGUCGGAAGCCUUCCCCCGUAUGCUUGGCACCCACCUGGCCAAACCAGGUUCGAGUAC
Molecule: small RNA, 122 nt
Filed under: Deltaproteobacteria bacterium
Lineage: Bacteria; Pseudomonadati; Myxococcota; Myxococcia
Description: 6S RNA
Rfam family: 6S / SsrS RNA
About the family: E. coli 6S RNA was the first non coding RNA to be sequenced, but its function was unknown until recently.
Source: RNAcentral